This 2800-nucleotide long non-coding RNA is filed under the name Mus musculus (house mouse). Its description in RNAcentral is "long non-coding RNA chr15:39602814-39605614". Lineage: Eukaryota; Metazoa; Chordata; Mammalia; Rodentia; Muridae. The record is from RNAcentral.
GUUCUUCUUAAAAUUUUGAAAUAGCAAGUGUGAAAAGUAACUUUAGAUAUGUAGUUUUAUCCACACAUGAGAAAAAAAAAAUACUUCCUCCAGGCUCAUUCUUUAGUAUAUACACAGAGAAGCUAAGAAGACCUGAGGAAACUGUAGACACUAGCUUUGGUUUUUGUUCUUUUGGUUUUGUUUUGUUUGUUUGUUAUGAUUGCUUGUUUGUUAAAGUUUAGUUAAUAUUUUAUGUAUGUUUGGUAGACAAAAAAUUAGCCAUAAAAUCUUGUCUAGACUAUACAAAGGCAAAAUAGCCAAGUAAGACAUUUUAACAAGGUCAGUUUCCAUUAACUGAUAUAGAAUUCCUUAAGUGGGAUAUUUACGCCACUUGUAAUGAUAUCAGAUGAGAUAAUUUAAGAUGCAAAUGUCUAGCUCUUCUUCCAGGGGUAUCCAUCCUAGGAUGCCUGGGGCUACAACUAUGUACUGUAUUCUUUAGAAGCCAGUCUCUCUAGUGAGUAAUAGAAUUUGAGAAUGCAUCUGGAAAUGCACUGUGUACCUCCUGUGUUCUUCCAGUUGGACAAUAUUUGUAUUUUAAGGGUAAAAUUUAGUGUGUGGCUUCCUGCCAACCUGCCUUGGGGAACUGCAAGUUUCUGUAGUUACUCCUCAGAGCUUUGCCUAAGAGGAGCAAAUCUGUCCUACCUGUAAUCAAAGGAGCUGGCAACCAAGGACAGCAAUCAGCACUCUGUUGUUUGUCUGUUUAUCCACUAAAGGUAAUGAACAUUUUAGCUUACUAUCCAUGCACAUGUGUUAUUAUUAAACAGGAAAACAAGAAGUGAGUGCCAAGGAGUUAGGUCAAAGGAUGAGUGGUAAGCAACUGGAGAGCAGAGUGGAGACAGGGAGGUGAGAACAGCAGCCUCACUCUCAGGGAGACUGAGCAGCCUGGGCAGGCUGAAUCUCACACAGUGCAUCUGCAGUUGUUCUCAGCAGCCACCGGAAGGACCAUAGCCUGUGCCCCCUCUGAGUUACUGUUGCAGGGAGAGUGGGAAACACAUCUUCUCUCCAUUAAGUUUAUGUCUAGACACUUGAAAAUGUCACUGAAUGUACAAUACUUUUAAAAAGUAAAACUCACUGCAAGACAGGCACACAGACUGACUAUGUUGUUUGUUUCUUAGAAGCCUGAUCGUAACAUAUGCCUGAAGUUUGGAAUUUCUCAAAAUAUUUACACUUAUUAAUAAAUUAACUCUUUCUCUUUCUCUCUCUCUCUCUCUCUCUCUCUCUCUCUCUCUCUCUCUCUCUCUCUCUCUCUCUCUGUGUGUGUGUGUGUGUAUGCAUGUUUCCUACUGAGCCAUUUUGUUGUCCCCCUCCCAACUCUUUUUUUAAAGAUUUUAUUUAUACAUAAGUACACUGUAGUUAUCUUCAGACACACCAGAAGAGGGUGUCAGGUCUCAUUACGGAUAGUUGUGAGCCACCAUGUGGUUGCUGGGAUUCGAACUCAGGACCUUUGGUAGAGCAGUCAGUGCUCUUCUUCCCCGCUGAGCCAUCUCGCCAGCCCCCCUCCCAACUCUUAUGACUCUUUGUUCUAUAUUUAGGUGUUGAAAAAAUAAUUCAAACUUUAGAUUAUUGAAAAAUGUUAAAUUAUUAUAUAACAAGAGCUUACAACAAUGUUUAGCAAAAAUAUUGUUAUUGCUGCUAUUUGAACCCAAAGACAAAAUUAAGGCACUUUAUAAAAUGUCAUCAGAGAGUAAAUCUUUACAAAUGUCAUUGUGUAUGUUCUAAGUGCUUGCCUCUGGCUAAACAGUGUGCUAAGUAUCUCACUUAUUCUCAAGUUUUCAUUUCACAUUCUUUUAGGCAGUCAAUUAUCCCUAUUUUCAUAAAUGAAGAAACAGUAUUUGGAAAGGUCAGAAACUGACACGUGGACAUGGGUUUAGGGGGUCACUGACUGAGUGUGAUGGCUCUACUUCAGGAUUGGUGUCUCAACCAGGAAACUUUCUCAACACAUUUUAUUGCUUCACAGGAUUAUUUUGUUUCUGUGUUUGUGUGUGUGUUUGUUUGUUUGUUUGCUUGCUUGAAAACCAGAUCUCACACUGUAGCUCAGGUAACAAGGUCUUUCUCUUAGCUGAGGCUAACCUUGAGAAACGGUCAUCUUCCUGCUUACUCUCAGGAGUUUCUAGUUGCUUCCAAGGAUUGUUCUAAAAGUUGGUUUUUAGUUGUUGGCUCUAAUUGUUAUCCAGUAAUCAGAGUUCUAGUUUGUAUGUUGGUCAAAUAAUGCAGGAGAACAAUGUUUAACAAGGGGCAAACAUUCAAUACAUGGUUGACAGUGUUAGAAGCUAUUGUCUGGACAUAGUGCUAAGAUGAAGGUAUUUUGUUAGACCCUAAAGAUGUAAAUAAAGCACUUUGGUAGCAUAAAUAAAUGCUAGCUUUUUAUUUCUUUCAUUUAUUUUGAUUAUUUCAUGCAUGAAUACAAUGUUUUUAGAUAAUUCCCCCAUCUCUCCCUUGACAAGAAAUACAUUUACAUACAGCUACUUUGCUCUUUCUUUUACUUCUUCAGUAUCUAUUUGAAUCUAAAGAUUAGAGUCUGAGGAUAUCUAAGCUACCUAUGCAGUGGUGCUUUCCACAUGAGAUAUAAAAUCAGUUUAAAGGAUGUGCAAUAUUCCAAGCCAAUUUUCAUCAGGAUCACUCUUGCAAAACCAUUUGUGCUUACCAGUCAAAAGUUCCCGAUUUUCUGAGAUUCAGAAAAACAACAAUAUUUACAAUUAUUAUCUUAGCAAAAAAGACUCCAUUAUUUCAGUGGCUUAUGUAAUGUGUAAGAAAAAGAAUG